RNAcentral lists this ribosomal RNA (507 nucleotides) under uncultured bacterium. RNAcentral describes it as "bacterial SSU rRNA". It matches the Rfam family "Bacterial small subunit ribosomal RNA", at positions 28 to 528 of the family's 1533-position model. The record is from RNAcentral.
GAUGAACGCUAGCGACAGGCUUAACACAUGCAAGUCGAGGGGCAGCAUAAAAGUAGCAAUACUUUGGUGGCGACCGGCGCACGGGUGAGUAACGCGUAUGCAACCUACCUAUCAGAGGGGAAUAACCCGGCGAAAGUCGGACUAAUACCGCAUAAAACAGGGCACCGCAUGGUGAUAUUUGUUAAAGAAAUUCGCUGAUAGAUGGGCAUGCGUUCCAUUAGGUAGUUGGUGAGGUAACGGCUCACCAAGCCGACGAUGGAUAGGGGAACUGAGAGGUUGGUCCCCCACACUGGUACUGAGACACGGACCAGACUCCUACGGGGAGGCAGCAGUGAGGAAUAUUGGUCAAUGGGCGGGAGCCUGAACCAGCCAAGUCGCGUGAAGGAAGAAGGAUCUAUGGUUCGUAAACUUCUUUUGCAGGGGAAUAAAGUGCAGGACGUGUCCUGUUUGUAUGUACCCUGAGAAUAAGGAUCGGCUAACUCCGUGCCAGCAGCCGCGGUAAAACGU